UACGUAGGGGGCAAGCGUCGUCCGGAAUCAUUGGGCGUAAAGAGCGUGUAGGCGGCCCGAUAAGUCCGCUGUGAAAGUCCAGGGCUCAACCCUGGGAUGCCGGUGGAUACUGUCGGGCUCGAGUCCGGAAGAGGAGUGUGGAAUUCCUGGUGUAGCGGUGAAAUGCGCAGAUAUCAGGAGGAACACCAAUUGCGAAGGCAGCUCGCUGGGACGUUACUGACGCUGAGACGCGAAAGCGUGGGGAGCAAACAGG
RNAcentral lists this ribosomal RNA (253 nucleotides) under uncultured bacterium. RNAcentral's name for it is "partial 16S ribosomal RNA". It matches the Rfam family "Bacterial small subunit ribosomal RNA", at positions 524 to 776 of the family's 1533-position model. The record is from RNAcentral.